GGUAUAGCCAAGGGGUAAGGCAACAGACUUUGACUCUGUCAGCGGUGGUUCGAAUCCACCUAC
Molecule: transfer RNA, 63 nt
Filed under: chicken gut metagenome
Rfam family: tRNA
About the family: Transfer RNA (tRNA) molecules are approximately 80 nucleotides in length. Their secondary structure includes four short double-helical elements and three loops (D, anti-codon, and T loops).
Source: RNAcentral